AGAGUUUGAUCCUGGCUCAGGACGAACGCUGGCGGCGUGCUUAACACAUGCAAGUUUAGGGGAAAGCCUGCUUCGGUGGGUGAGUAUACUGGCGGACGGGUGAGUAACGCGUAGGUAACCUGCCCUUAUGUUGGGGAUAACCUUGCGAAAGCGGGGCUAAUACCGGAUGUGGUUUUAUUGACGGAUGUUGAUAGGAUUAAAGUUGCUUUGGUUGACCGAGGUAACGCAUAGGGAUGGGCCUGCGUUCCAUUAGCUAGUUGGUAGGGUAAAGGCCUACCAAAGCGACGAUGGAUAGCUGGUCUGAGAGGACGAUCAGCCACACUGGGACUGAGAUACGGCCCAGACUCCUACGGGAGGCAGCAGUGGGGAAUAUUGCGCAAUGCCCGCAAGGGUGACGCAGCGACGCCGCGUGGGUGAAGAAGCUUUACGGAGUGUAAAGCCCUGUCAGAGGGGAAGAACGGGUCAUAUUCGUAAGGGUAUGUCUGUGACGGUACCCUCAGAGGAAGCUCCGGCUAACUCCGUGCCAGCAGCCGCGGUCAUACGGGGGGAGCAAGCGUUGUCCGGAAUCACUGGGCGUAAAGGGCGUGUAGGCGGGCGACCAAGUCAGAUGUAAAAGGCGACGGCUCAACCGGAGUAUGUCAUCUGAGACUGGUUGUCUUGAGUUCGAGAGAGGGUGGUGGAAUUCCCGGUGUAGCGGUGAAAUGCGUAGAUAUCGGGAAGAACACCUGAUGCGAAGGCGGCCACCUGGAUCGACACUGACGCUGAGGCGCGAAAGCGUGGGUAGCAAACAGGAUUAGAUACCCUGGUAGUCCACGCUGUAAACGAUGGGCACUAGGUGUUGGCCGAGCACUCAAAGCGCAUUGAUUUAGUUAUGAGGUAGUAGGAUUAUGUUAUCAGUGCGUUAUGAGUGCUUGGUCGGUGCCGCAGCUAACGCAUUAAGUGCCCCGCCCGGGGAGUACGCUCGCAAGGGUGAAACUCAAAGGAAUUGACGGGGGCCCGCACAAGCGGUGGAGCAUGUGGUUUAAUUCGAUGCAACGCGAAGAACCUUACCGGGGCUUGAACUGCUGGGUAAACCUCAUGAAAGUGGGGGUGCUCUUCGGAGCGAUCUAGUAGAGGUGCUGCAUGGCUGUCGUCAGCUCGUGUCGUGAGAUGUUCGGUUAAGUCCGGCAACGAGCGCAACCCCUGUUCUUAGUUGCCAUCAGGUAGAGCUGGGCACUCUAGGAAGACUGCCGGCGGUAAGCUGGAGGAAGGUGGGGAUGACGUCAAGUCAGCAUGGCCCUUAUGUCUUGGGCUACACACACGCUACAAUGGGUGGUACAACAGGUAGCGACAGAGCGAUCUGAAGCCAAUCCCUAAAGCCAUCCUCAGUUCGGAUUGUAGGCUGAAAUUCGCCUGCAUGAAGCUGGAGUUGCUAGUAACCGCGGGUCAGCAUACUGCGGUGAAUACGUUCUCGGGCCUUGUACACAUCGCCCGUCACGUCAUGAAAGUUGGCAACACCUGAAGUCGAUGGGCUAACCCGGUUUACCGGGGAGCAGUCGCCGAAGGUGGGGCUGAUGAUUGGGACGAAGUCGUAACAAGGUAACC
Molecule: ribosomal RNA, 1584 nt
Filed under: uncultured Deferribacteres bacterium
Lineage: Bacteria; Pseudomonadati; Deferribacterota; Deferribacteres
Description: bacterial SSU rRNA
Rfam family: Bacterial small subunit ribosomal RNA
Source: RNAcentral